CCCGUGACUUUAUGGUUGUGUGACCCCUGUUGUCGUUUAAUGUUUCAACCGUCUAGCCCCUGCUCCCCUAAUGAAAAGGGACAAGGGCAGGUGUGUCAGUCAGGGUCCUGUGGCAGGAAGACGUAGACCUGGAUGGAACUUGGAAGCGAAUUGGACAAAGGGAUGAUUUCAUAGAGGCAAGGGCAGGAAGGGGAACUACCAGGACUGCGGGGGCGACGGGGACUAGCUGCGGUGGGCAGUCUCCGCCACCACUUAGGCCUCUCGGGAGCUGGAGUCAUGAAGGAGGGACUCCCCGGGGUUGGGGGCUGAGGUCCUGGAGGGGUGCAGCCAUUACUGGUGCGUGGAGGGAUGGGUCUAGCUCUCCGUCUCCCGCCAGCGCCAGACCCAACUGGAACUCAGAGACCAACGGAGCCCAGGCAGAAAUAAUCUCCAAACAGCUUUUGUACCGUGGGGGAUAGGAUGAGGGAGCCAUGCAGGGAAGGAAAGAGGACGGGGCAAGGACAUCUAGACUGGAAGUAGGCACCCAGCAAAGAAUGAUCAUCAAAAGAGCAGAUUCUGGAGAGAUCCACGCAUACCCAGGACAUCCCCCAGGUGUCUGUCCACUGGCCGUGAUUGCUUUUGAGAUGCUGAUUCCAGUUCACUGGGAAGCAGUCCGAUGUCAAAGAGAGAACGUGAGCUUUGGAGUCCCACAGACCUGGUUUUGAAAGUGAACUCAGCCUCUUCUGUCUGUACAGCCCAGGGCACAACAUCAUUGUGACUCAGUGUUCUCAUCUUUAAAAUGGUC
Long non-coding RNA from Acinonyx jubatus (cheetah), 784 nucleotides. RefSeq lists it as uncharacterized. The record is from RefSeq and is a predicted model, not a curated record. The transcript has 3 exons. Lineage: Eukaryota; Metazoa; Chordata; Mammalia; Carnivora; Felidae.